RNAcentral lists this ribosomal RNA (253 nucleotides) under uncultured bacterium. Its description in RNAcentral is "partial 16S ribosomal RNA". It matches the Rfam family "Bacterial small subunit ribosomal RNA", at positions 524 to 776 of the family's 1533-position model. The record is from RNAcentral.
UACGGAGGGUGCAAGCGUUAUCCGGAUUCACUGGGUUUAAAGGGUGCGUAGGUGGGUCUGUAAGUCAGUGGUGAAAUCCCCGAGCUUAACUUGGGAACUGCCAUUGAUACUAUAGCCCUUGAAUACUGUGGAGGUCAGCGGAAUAUGUCAUGUAGCGGUGAAAUGCUUAGAUAUGACAUAGAACACCAAUUGCGAAGGCAGCUUACUACCCGAAUAUUGACACUGAGGCACGAAAGCGUGGGGAUCAAACAGG